GCCAAUGUAGCUCGAUGAAAGAGCAUCGCCUCUUCAUACCGCGUCAAAUAGGUUGUAUACAGGCAAAGAUGUAGGUUCGACUCCUACCAUUGGUA
This is a non-coding RNA of Arthromyces matolae, 95 nucleotides long. Lineage: Eukaryota; Fungi; Basidiomycota; Agaricomycetes; Agaricales; Lyophyllaceae. The record is from the annotation of a GenBank genome assembly.